This 537-nucleotide ribosomal RNA is filed under the name uncultured bacterium. RNAcentral's name for it is "bacterial SSU rRNA". It matches the Rfam family "Bacterial small subunit ribosomal RNA", at positions 777 to 1312 of the family's 1533-position model. The record is from RNAcentral.
AAUAGAUACCCCGGUAGUCCACGCCGUAAACGAUGAGUGCUAAGUGUUAGAGGGUUUCCGCCCUUUAGUGCUGCAGCUAACGCAUUAAGCACUCCGCCUGGGGAGUACGACCGCAAGGUUGAAACUCAAAGGAAUUGACGGGGGCCCGCACAAGCGGUGGAGCAUGUGGUUUAAUUCGAAGCAACGCGAAGAACCUUACCAGGUCUUGACAUCCCCUUGACCUCCCUAGAGAUAGGGAUUUCCCUUCGGGGACAAGGGUGACAGGUGGUGCAUGGUUGUCGUCAGCUCGUGUCGUGAGAUGUUGGGUUAAGUCCCGCAACGAGCGCAACCCUUGAGAUUAGUUGCCAGCAUUUAGUUGGGCACUCUAAUCUGACUGCCGGUGACAAACCGGAGGAAGGUGGGGAUGACGUCAAAUCAUCAUGCCCCUUAUGACCUGGGCUACACACGUGCUACAAUGGAUGGUACAAAGGGCAGCGAAGCCGCGAGGCUUAGCCAAUCCCAUAAAACCAUUCUCAGUUCGGAUUGCAGGCUGCAACC